Molecule: ribosomal RNA, 433 nt
Filed under: uncultured bacterium
Lineage: Bacteria
Description: partial 16S ribosomal RNA
Rfam family: Bacterial small subunit ribosomal RNA
Source: RNAcentral
AACGAACGCUGGCGGCAUGCCUAACACAUGCAAGUCGAACGAGACCUUCGGGUCUAGUGGCGCACGGGUGCGUAACGCGUGGGAACCUGCCCUUAGGUUCGGAAUAACUCCCCGACAGGGGUGCUAAUACCGGAUAAUGUCUUCGGACCAAAGAUUUAUCGCCUUUGGUUGGGCCCGCGUUGGAUUAGCUAGUUGGUAGGGUAAAAGCCUACCAAGGCGACGAUCCAUAGCUGGUCUGAGAGGAUGAUCAGCCACACUGGGACUGAGACACGGCCCAGACUCCUACGGGAAGCAGCAGUGGGGAAUAUUGGACAAUGGGCGAAAGCCUGAUCCAGCAAUGCCGCGUGAGUGAUGAAGGCCUUAGGGUUGUAAAGCUCUUUUACCCGGGAUGAUAAUGACAGUACCGGGAGAAUAAGCUCCGGCUAACUCCGUG